UCUUUUUCUUUUCUUCUCGCUCACUGCCGCACACCUCCUCACCCGAUCCCCUUCCUCAUCUUCUUCACCCAUGCCCAAACCUCCAUCUCUUCUCACCGACGCCGAGCUACUUUUCUCCUCUGCCGAUCCCCAGAGGCUGAUGGAUCGUCUUCCUCCGCGGGUCGUCACACCAUGUGAGCAGAUCUUCAGCCAAGAAAGGGAAAGGCCGAGCCCUAGCGUCGAUUUUCCCUUGUUGCAUCACUGUGCAUCGCGUCUCUGAUCUUUGUGAUGCACUACUCCGGUCAACAUUCUUCCUCCACUCCCCAUUGCUGAUCGAUUGCAUGCCACUGACGUUGCAGAUUCGCCCGAUCUCAGGUGAUUUCUUCCUCCUUACGAGAUCUCAGGCGAUCGUCUACCAUGGCCAUCACCCAAUUUCCUUUUCGGCCACUAGAAGAUCCACAACCACAUUUUGUUGGGUUUUCGUCAGAUAGGGAUCUACCAAUAUGAAAUUGUGGAUGUAUGUUUGAUGAAAUGCCUUAAUUCCUCUUGUCUCCUUUGUUCACAUUGACAAUGCCAUUAGCGGCCAUCUUUCGUUGUGAGCCGCUGCUAGGGCAGUGACUAUCCACUGCAAGAUGUUGUGAGGUAGCAGGUAAAGGAUUUAUGGAGUCGCCUGGAGAUCCAGUCCGCCAGUCCCAUGUCAUAUUGAGCGACUCUUCCAUUAUUGCUUCCGCUCUUAAUAUUGGCUUUCGACUUAUUCAUGUAUUUGUAUCUUUUGUUUAGAGGUCUGCUUUGUGGUUUCUUAUAUUUGGUUUAAUAUUAUGGUGUCAAGCCGAGCCGGCUCGCAGUUAGUUGUAUCGUAGUUUUGUGAUCAUUAUUUUGUGAUCCCGCUGUGUUUUGUACAGCCAUGUGGGAUGUUUAAUAUAUAUAACUAUGUGGUUGUGAUUGUUUUGUUCCA
This is a long non-coding RNA of Zingiber officinale, 934 nucleotides long. RefSeq lists it as uncharacterized. The transcript has 3 exons. Lineage: Eukaryota; Viridiplantae; Streptophyta; Magnoliopsida; Zingiberales; Zingiberaceae. The record is from RefSeq and is a predicted model, not a curated record.